GUAUUUUAUCCUCAAAACUUAGCAAAAACAUGGGUAAGUUAUGGUUCUUAGACGUAUAAAUACGCCCAACAUCAAGUAAACCCAUAAGGUGUAAGGAAGCUGAUUGGUGGUAUCCCCUCGAGGGGUGCAUCGCCGACCGACCUUGAUCUUCUGAGAAGGGUUCGAGUGUGAGCAUACCUGUUGGGACCCAAAAGAUGGUAAACUAUGCCUGAGCGGGGUAAAGCUAGAGGAAACUCUGGUGGAGGCCCGCAGUGAUACUGACUUGCAAAUCGUUCGUCUGACUUGGGUGUAGGGCCCGCGGCUGCUUUGUCGAGCCGUGCCACGAAUCAAGAGCUCCAAGUGGGCCAUUUUGAGUAAGCAGAACUGGCGAUGUGGGAUAAACCAAAAUCUGGGUUACUGUUCCAAACUGUGCACUAACCUAGAUCCCAAAAUGUUAGGAAGUUCGGAGACAUCGGCAGGAGCCUCAGGAAGAGUUAUCUUUUCUGUGUAACCGCUUCCCACAGUGGAAUCGGCUUAGUCAGAGGUAGGGUCCAGUGGCUGGAAGAGCACCACACAUCACGUGGUGUCCGGUGCACUACCGAAGGCCCUUGAAAAUCCAAAGAACCGAAUGCCGUCCAUGCCCGGUCGUACUCAUAACCAUAUCAAGUCUCCAAGGGAACAACCUCUGGUUGAUGGAACAAUGUAGGCAAGGGAAGUCGGCAAAAUAGAUCCGUAACUUCUAGAAAAGGAUUAUCACUGAGGGCUGGGCAUGGGGGUCCCAGUCCCGAACCCAUCGGAUGUCGAUGGACUACUCAAGCUUCUCCCAUAGCGAGAGCGGGUCACUGCAUACCGAUCAGGGGAUGUACUGGGAACGGUUCCUUCAGGGGCCUUCCCUGCACAUCAAACAGCCAACUCAGAAUCGGUACGGACAAGGGGAAUCCGACUGUUUAAUUAAAACAAAGAAUUACUAUGGUCCCAACGGAUGUUCACGCAUUGUGAUUUCUACCCAGUGCUCUGAAUGUCAAAGUGAAAAAAUUCAACCAAGCGCGGGUAAACGGCGGGAGUAACUAUGACUUACUUAAGGUAGCCAAAUGCCUCAUUAUCUAAUUGGUGACGUGCAUGAAUGGAUUAACGAGAUUACCACUAUCCCUGUCUACUAUCCAGCAAAACCACAGCCAAAGGAACGUGCUUGGCAGAAUCAAUGGGGAAAGAAGACCCUCUUGAGCUUGACUCUACUCCGACUUUAUGAAAUGACUUAAGAGGUGUAGUAUAAGUGGGAUCCGUGAAUUGGAAUUGGGGCACUGCCCCUACUGGCUGGAUCAACUAGGUAGACAGGCAAAAGUGUAAUACCACUACUUUUAACAUUAUUUUACUUAUUCUGUGAAUUGCAAGCGGGGCACUGCCCCUCAUUUCAGACCCCAGUCUCACUCUGUGGGCUGAUCCAAGUGGAAGACAUUGCCAGGCGGGGAAUUUGGAUGGGGCGGCACAUCUGUUAAAAGAUAACGCAGGUGUCCUAAGAUGAGCUCAACGAGACCAGAAAUAUCGUGUAGAACAGAAGGGUAAAAGCUCGUUUGAUUCAAAUUUCCAUUACGAAUAAGAACCAUUAAAGUGUGGCCUAACGAUUCUUUAGACCUUCAGAAUUCAAAGCUGGAGGUGUUAGAAAAGUGCUACCACAGGGAUAGCUGUCCUGUUGUAACCAAGCGUUCAUAGCGACGUUGCUUUUUCAUCCUUUGAUGUUGGCUCUUCCUAUCAUUUUGAAGCAAAAUUCACCAAGUGUUGGACUGUUCACCCACCAAUAGAAAACAUGAGGUGGGUUUAGACCAUCGUGAGACAGGUUAGUUUUACCCUACUUAUGACAGUGUCACUGUAGUAAUUCAACCUAGUACGAGAAGAAAUAUUGAUUCACACAAUUUGUCAUUGCACUUGGUUGAAAAACCAGUGGCGUAAUGCUACCGUGUGCUGGAUUAUAACUGAACAUCUCUAAGUUAGAAUUCGGACUAGAAGCGAUGCAUGCGCCUGCUAUCCGCUUGUCGACCCACAGUAGGUGCCUCGGCCCCCAAGGGCACAUGUCGUUUUCUAAGCCACCGCGGUAGAAGAAUCACGGAGGCCGCCUUGAAGUAUAAUUUCCAUCGAGCGGCCGGUAGAAUCCAUUGCA
This 2134-nucleotide ribosomal RNA is filed under the name Capsicum annuum. RNAcentral describes it as "eukaryotic LSU rRNA". It matches the Rfam family "Eukaryotic large subunit ribosomal RNA", at positions 596 to 3309 of the family's 3401-position model. Lineage: Eukaryota; Viridiplantae; Streptophyta; Magnoliopsida; Solanales; Solanaceae. The record is from RNAcentral.